GACGAACGCUGGCGGCGUGCUUAACACAUGCAAGUCGAACGGAAAGGCCCUGCUUUUGUGGGGUGCUCGAGUGGCGAACGGGUGAGUAACACGUGAGUAACCUGCCCUUGACUUUGGGAUAACUUCAGGAAACUGGGGCUAAUACCGGAUAGGAGCUCCUGCUGCAUGGUGGGGGUUGGAAAGUUUCGGCGGUAGGGGAUGGACUCGCGGCUUAUCAGCUUGUUGGUGGGGUAGUGGCUGACCAAGGCUUUGACGGGUAGCCGGCCUGAGAGGGUGACCGGCCACCAUGGGACUGAGAUACGGACCAGACUCCUACGGGAGGCAACAGUGGGGAAUAUUACACAAUGAGCGGAAGCCUGAUGCGGCAACGCCGCGUGCGGGAUGACGGCCUUCGGGUUGUAAACCGCUUUCGCCUGUGACGAAGCGUGAGUGACGGUAAUGAGUAAAGAAGCACCGGCUAACUACGUG
Molecule: ribosomal RNA, 468 nt
Filed under: uncultured bacterium
Lineage: Bacteria
Description: partial 16S ribosomal RNA
Rfam family: Bacterial small subunit ribosomal RNA
Source: RNAcentral